This 1554-nucleotide ribosomal RNA is filed under the name Klebsiella pneumoniae. RNAcentral describes it as "bacterial SSU rRNA". It matches the Rfam family "Bacterial small subunit ribosomal RNA". RNAcentral also lists the same sequence under 2 other names. Lineage: Bacteria; Pseudomonadati; Pseudomonadota; Gammaproteobacteria; Enterobacterales; Enterobacteriaceae. The record is from RNAcentral.
ACUUAAAUUGAAGAGUUUGAUCAUGGCUCAGAUUGAACGCUGGCGGCAGGCCUAACACAUGCAAGUCGAGCGGUAGCACAGAGAGCUUGCUCUCGGGUGACGAGCGGCGGACGGGUGAGUAAUGUCUGGGAAACUGCCUGAUGGAGGGGGAUAACUACUGGAAACGGUAGCUAAUACCGCAUAACGUCGCAAGACCAAAGUGGGGGACCUUCGGGCCUCAUGCCAUCAGAUGUGCCCAGAUGGGAUUAGCUAGUAGGUGGGGUAACGGCUCACCUAGGCGACGAUCCCUAGCUGGUCUGAGAGGAUGACCAGCCACACUGGAACUGAGACACGGUCCAGACUCCUACGGGAGGCAGCAGUGGGGAAUAUUGCACAAUGGGCGCAAGCCUGAUGCAGCCAUGCCGCGUGUGUGAAGAAGGCCUUCGGGUUGUAAAGCACUUUCAGCGGGGAGGAAGGCGGUAAGGUUAAUAACCUCAUCGAUUGACGUUACCCGCAGAAGAAGCACCGGCUAACUCCGUGCCAGCAGCCGCGGUAAUACGGAGGGUGCAAGCGUUAAUCGGAAUUACUGGGCGUAAAGCGCACGCAGGCGGUCUGUCAAGUCGGAUGUGAAAUCCCCGGGCUCAACCUGGGAACUGCAUUCGAAACUGGCAGGCUAGAGUCUUGUAGAGGGGGGUAGAAUUCCAGGUGUAGCGGUGAAAUGCGUAGAGAUCUGGAGGAAUACCGGUGGCGAAGGCGGCCCCCUGGACAAAGACUGACGCUCAGGUGCGAAAGCGUGGGGAGCAAACAGGAUUAGAUACCCUGGUAGUCCACGCCGUAAACGAUGUCGAUUUGGAGGUUGUGCCCUUGAGGCGUGGCUUCCGGAGCUAACGCGUUAAAUCGACCGCCUGGGGAGUACGGCCGCAAGGUUAAAACUCAAAUGAAUUGACGGGGGCCCGCACAAGCGGUGGAGCAUGUGGUUUAAUUCGAUGCAACGCGAAGAACCUUACCUGGUCUUGACAUCCACAGAACUUUCCAGAGAUGGAUUGGUGCCUUCGGGAACUGUGAGACAGGUGCUGCAUGGCUGUCGUCAGCUCGUGUUGUGAAAUGUUGGGUUAAGUCCCGCAACGAGCGCAACCCUUAUCCUUUGUUGCCAGCGGUCCGGCCGGGAACUCAAAGGAGACUGCCAGUGAUAAACUGGAGGAAGGUGGGGAUGACGUCAAGUCAUCAUGGCCCUUACGACCAGGGCUACACACGUGCUACAAUGGCAUAUACAAAGAGAAGCGACCUCGCGAGAGCAAGCGGACCUCAUAAAGUAUGUCGUAGUCCGGAUUGGAGUCUGCAACUCGACUCCAUGAAGUCGGAAUCGCUAGUAAUCGUAGAUCAGAAUGCUACGGUGAAUACGUUCCCGGGCCUUGUACACACCGCCCGUCACACCAUGGGAGUGGGUUGCAAAAGAAGUAGGUAGCUUAACCUUCGGGAGGGCGCUUACCACUUUGUGAUUCAUGACUGGGGUGAAGUCGUAACAAGGUAACCGUAGGGGAACCUGCGGUUGGAUCACCUCCUUACCUUAAAGAA